ACAAGAGAUUUCACAGCAUUUCCAAGCAGCGUGGUUCAAGGCAGAAAGCCUCCUGAUACCUGCAGUGCAAAAUCCGGGAGCUGGUUGUCUACCUGUUCUUGGAUUUAGUUGCUGUUUGCUUUUCCUCUCUUUAAUUUUAAAAGGGAAUUAAAAUUUCUCCUGGAAGACUAUGAUGAUGCAGCUCAGCAGAGACUCACCAGCUCGAGGUUUAGCAUCAGCAAGUAUUUUUACCUCCGGCACAAGCAGUUUUGUUCCUUCAGCAAGGCAUGGCAGGAUGAACACUGGAUACCUGAAACUCCUGGGAGAAGGCUGCGUUUCCUGGGGCUCCAUCCUUGGCUUUCCUGCACUGUCAGAGACCAGCUGUGACCCCGGUGUGAUGAAGAAUGACACAGUGGCUUAAAGGCCACAAAGGACGUGCGAAUUGGUCCAAAAAUUAUCGUUACCUGGCAAAACCAGAAGGUUUAAGGUUCAGUGUUGAAAGCUUUGUCCUGCAAGGGUGCAGCCCUCUCAUCUUGACACUGCCAUCCUUCUAUGUCCUGGUGCUGCCUGAAGUGAUGACCUGCCAGAGGAUGGAGCACAGGAGACCAGGGAUCAGCACACUGUACAAAGUAUAACACAAAGCAAAGCCUUUUCUGCAGCUUUCAAGCUGAGGAUGGAUCAGGCCAGCGUUCCCCUGCUUGCCAGUUUCCCAAGUGAGCUGGCAGUGGCUUCCCAAGUGUGGUUUUGCAAGGAGAUGUACCAGAGAAGGACAGGGUACAGGUAAGUAAAGCUGCAGGUGAGUAACAGGGAAAUCCUGGUGAGGCAACACACGGGUGCACAGCGAGCCUUUCGUCAUUGCUGCUGCAGCAGCAGUGGCACUGCAAAAGGUGGCAUCUCUAAUGUGGAAUCUCUGGCUUUUUCAACCCUGAGUAGAUGUGCUUGGAGUGGUCACAGUGCCAUGGACAAGUGGCAUCUCCUAUGGUGAGUUUCUGAGGCUCUGGAACCAGGAGUAGAGGUCUCGGGGGGUUUUUUGUUAAAACACUUGCUUUCAGUAUAAGUUCUACUCUUGCUUGAGUAGAGGAAAAGAGAAGGUCUUUGUUUAGAGCCAUAGUAAGGCAGGAUGGGAGCUGAGACAUCCAUCUGCAAUGGAACAACUGUGGGAGCAUUGAUGUGGUGCUUCAUCAGGGCGAAAUGGGAGAUUUUGUCUAACCAUAGUCUCAUUUCUCUUAAAAGGCUAUUUCAGACUAAAGCAGAGCACCCUUUUUCCUGGCUUUUGCCAGAUGAAAUUUGGAAGAAGAGGCCAGCAGGUGCUGGCACAGGCUCCAGAGGUUCAUCCCAGUUCCUCGAGUAUACAAGCCCAGGGAUGAAGCAUUCUGGCUCCUUUUGGGGAGCACAGCACGUGUUAUCAGCAACAGCCCUUACUAAUUCUUCCUAGUUUUCCUCUGGCAUAGGAAUUUCUUUCUUCUUCACAGAUUUUUACUAUUCCUGAAGUUAAAAAA
Empidonax traillii (willow flycatcher) is the source of this 1478-nucleotide long non-coding RNA. RefSeq lists it as uncharacterized. The record is from RefSeq and is a predicted model, not a curated record. NCBI's taxonomy places the organism in Eukaryota, Metazoa, Chordata, Aves, Passeriformes, Tyrannidae. The transcript is spliced from 2 exons.